AUUCCAGGGGACAGGGAUGUGGUCUCUUGGUCCGGUGGGUUCUCUGCGUUCCGCACUGGGGUGAACAGCUCCAAGUCAAGAGUUCUAGAAAGUAUAGGUGUCUGUUCCCUGGCUGCACUGCUUCCUACGCAGGGCACAAGGGCAGAGCCCCUGCACAACUGGUGCAGGCUUCCACCCCACCACAGUGUGCUCUGCCAGGCUGCUGCUACCUGCCCAAGCCUGGUAGCUCAGCUCUACUUCCCUUCCCUUGCCUGCUGUCCUGGACUCCGCCCUGGGUGGAUUUGGUUGCUCUCCUCCCAAAUGGAUUAAUUCUUAGCGGUGUCAUCAAGCAGGACGACGUGCGUGGACUGCUACCAUGAGCUGCUGUGCGUCCGUAUCUUUUCUGCUCAGCGCUAAUGCAGAUGGACAGACACGCCAUGCAUGUUUGUCCAUGAACUCAUCCAGGCAGUGAGGACUGGGGCAGUUUCACCAGCCUCUGCCCAGAACCUUUUAAGAGACUCCUGGGAAGUGAGCUGAGUCACAUCUGCGCUCCCUGAUCACUCGGGUGGGUGGGGGAGACAAUGUAUAGUAACAAGAAAUGAAACACUCUGCUUCACGGGCUAGUGGUUUUCUAGUGGUUUUUUUUUUUUUUAAAGAACAGUGAAAGGACUCGUCUGAAGUUAUUCCGACACGGCCCCUAGUUGCUAGGGCCUAUAUAAAAAAGCAGCUCAAAUGGAAAGUGUCACCCAGGACAGCAUUGGGAGGAAAUGACACCAGGAGACCUUGUUUCAGUGAGAAAUCCCAGGCACAGGGCUGAUCCAGAAGCUGGUCUGGGUUCUGUUUCCCUGCGCAGCUGGGAGGAGACAGAAGCACUCUGGGCCUCCGUUGUUGGCAAAGUGAGUCACACUGGACAGGAGAGUCUGGAAGAAUGGCAGGCACAGCUUGCAAGCGCAUCUGGAGGUGGCUGGAGAGAAACAUGUACUCAUCCGAAGAGGGGACCCAUGACCGUGGUGUGCACAGUACAAGAGCUCGCUUGGGAUCUCUGAUAAAGGAAGUCCACCAUGCAGGGUUGAGCUGAACCACAGAAGCCCAGCCUGGGAGCAGGGCUCCAGGACUCCCCAAGGAUCAGAAACCUCAAUGAUAAAUUUCCGACUGGAUGAUACACACUACACCUGUUCUUCAGCGAUGAUGUAUGGUGUGUCUAACAUCUGCCUAUUAGCAGCUGAAUUCCCUUCUAUGACGUGAUACAUAAUGUAUGGUGUGACACAGCUGGGUAAUAAACAAUGUCAGCUGCGUCCUA
This 1279-nucleotide long non-coding RNA is filed under the name Homo sapiens (human). RNAcentral's name for it is "NPAS2 antisense RNA 1". Lineage: Eukaryota; Metazoa; Chordata; Mammalia; Primates; Hominidae. The record is from RNAcentral.